AUAAAGUUCAGUUCAUUCAUUCUCUAUCCUCUCUGAUUUUCUCAUUCACUUUGAUUUCUGAAUUUAGCUGUUUGUUUUGUGGGAAAUUCAUAUGCUUAGAUUUUUCUUUCUUAAUAGGCUGAUAUGACCAUGUUAGAAGACGAACUACCAACAAAAAGAUGACUUUCAUCAGCCCUUGUCAAGGUGGAAACUAGCUUAAGUCUUAUGUUCUUAAUAAUAAAAGGACUU
Long non-coding RNA from Humulus lupulus (European hop), 228 nucleotides. RefSeq lists it as uncharacterized. The transcript is spliced from 2 exons. The record is from RefSeq and is a predicted model, not a curated record. NCBI's taxonomy places the organism in Eukaryota, Viridiplantae, Streptophyta, Magnoliopsida, Rosales, Cannabaceae.